CUUUAAAAUACUCACAGGGAGAGGUCCUCGGGUGGAAUCCGCCGAUUUUGAUGGGGCUUAAUGGGGUUGUGGAGUGUGUCUUCCUGAAUGUAUUGAUGCCCCCUUUUGCUGGCGGACGGUCACCCGUUUUCGGGAUAUUGCGGGUCAGGGUUUUGGGCGAGUGUUUGGCUGCAGUUUGGAAUCGUCAUGGCAAACGGGCUGUCGUGGUGUUGUGGAUGCGAGCUUUGAUGCUGUGGUUUGGCCUGGGUUCGGGUCCUGCUGCCGACAAAAAUGUUUUUUUCUUUCAUUAUUGUUUUUUUUAUUUAUUUA
Molecule: long non-coding RNA, 309 nt
Filed under: Androctonus crassicauda
Lineage: Eukaryota; Metazoa; Arthropoda; Arachnida; Scorpiones; Buthidae
Source: RNAcentral